Molecule: long non-coding RNA, 746 nt
Organism: Mastomys coucha (southern multimammate mouse)
Lineage: Eukaryota; Metazoa; Chordata; Mammalia; Rodentia; Muridae
Exons: 4
Source: RefSeq, a predicted model, not a curated record
AGGACCUGACACUCUGGCAGAGUCCAGGACAUUCAGGAAGACAAAGAUGGUGAGAUCACAGGCCCUAGGAGUGUUAUGUGUUUGACAACAUGCCAAAGGCCUAAACUGUACACUCCCCCUGUGCUGGUGAUGGGAAAGUAAGAAGACGAGGAGGCCAACCUGAUAGAUGGACAAUGUAGGAAUCCCAGAAGCAAGAGGCCUUGUUCCUGCAUGGGGAUCCACCAUUCUUUGCAUAUGCAUGUUGAGUUUCUAAGCAGAUGUCUCCAACUAUGAUUCUGACCUUCAAAAAAGCAGUUGAAUGUCAUGAGGCUUUCCUGACAAAAAAAGCACAGGCUGGAGCCAAAAUCCUGAUGCUAUGCACCAAAUCCCUUUCCUGUUUGGGGCUACUGAGGACAAUCUGAACUAAAAGUCUGGACCUGCUUUCUCAGUGAAGGCACAACCUCUUGAACUCUCUGACUUUUGAACUGUAGUUGUACCUACUGCUGCUUGUGAUCCAAAAAUCUAAUUCAAUAUGUGAACAUAUAAGCUUCCAACCUCCAAUCUGGAUCAUUCUGUCCCAGAGAGGACAAUGUGUGUACUUGAAAAGAAAGACCAGAUCCUGGUGCUUUCCCACGAGAAGUUUCUGAAUGUGGCUACCUGGAAGGACAACCGAAAGCCUCUCUCAGCCACAGAGGAGGGCACUAUCAAUAAGUCAAUCAACCUUAUCUGCAUCGUCACAAGCAUCUGAAAUAUGGAGGUCUGGUAAA